RNAcentral lists this ribosomal RNA (107 nucleotides) under Vibrio cholerae. RNAcentral's name for it is "partial 16S ribosomal RNA". It matches the Rfam family "Bacterial small subunit ribosomal RNA", at positions 1 to 100 of the family's 1533-position model. The record is from RNAcentral. Lineage: Bacteria; Pseudomonadati; Pseudomonadota; Gammaproteobacteria; Vibrionales; Vibrionaceae.
UAAUUGAAGAGUUUGAUCAUGGCUCAGAUUGAACGCUGGCGGCAGGCCUAACACAUGCAAGUCGAGCGGCAGCACAGAGGAACUUGUUCCUUGGGUGGCGAGCGGCG